UAGGCAAUUUGGAGGCAUUGCCUGCCAGUGACAACUGUUUAACGGCCGCGGUAUCCUGACCGUGCAAGGUAGCAUAAUCAUUUGUUCUCUAAAUAAGGACUUGUAUGAAUGGCCCCACGAGGGUUUUACUGUCUCUUACUUCUAAUCAGUGAAAUUGACCUGCCCGUGAAGAGGCGGGAAUGCCCCAAUAAGACGAGAAGACCCUAUGGAGCUUUAACUAACCAACGCAAAGAGAAUAUAUUUAACCCUUAAGGACUAACCUCCCUCUCCUGGAUUUGGUAUUUUCGGUGGGGGUGACCUCGAACAAAAACAAAUCCUCCAAGCGAUUUUGAAGACAAUACCCCCAAGUCAAAUCACUCUAUCGCUCAUUGGUCCCAAAACUUGGUCCACGGAACAAGUUACCCUAAGGAUAACAACCCAAUCCUAUUCCUAAAUCCAUAUCCACCAUAAGGUUUACCAACUUCAUGGUGGAUCCAGACCUCCUGAAGGGGCAACCCCUAUCUAAGGGUCCUUUGGUCCACCAAUAAAGUCCUACCUGAUCUGAAUUCAAAACGGGA
Molecule: ribosomal RNA, 557 nt
Filed under: Phascolosoma esculenta
Lineage: Eukaryota; Metazoa; Annelida; Sipuncula; Phascolosomatiformes; Phascolosomatidae
Description: partial 16S ribosomal RNA
Rfam family: Bacterial large subunit ribosomal RNA
Source: RNAcentral